UACGAAGGGGCUAGCGUUGCUCGGAAUUACUGGGCGUAAAGGGCGCGUAGGCGGCCUUUCAAGUGACGGGUGAAAUCCCUCGGCUUAACCGAGGAACUGCCUGUCAGACUGGAAGGCUUGAGACCGGGAGAGGUGAGUGGAAUUCCCAGUGUAGCGGUGAAAUGCGUAGAUAUUGGGAGGAACACCAGUGGCGAAGGCGGCUCACUGGACCGGUACUGACGCUGAGGCGCGAAAGCGUGGGGAGCAAACAGGG
RNAcentral lists this ribosomal RNA (253 nucleotides) under uncultured bacterium. RNAcentral's name for it is "partial 16S ribosomal RNA". It matches the Rfam family "Bacterial small subunit ribosomal RNA", at positions 524 to 777 of the family's 1533-position model. The record is from RNAcentral.